CAUAUACAUUUAGCAAAUAGACGAAUACAGGUUAAAUAUAAUACAAGUCCCAGGGCAGCUCAUGGCCAUCCGCUACAGCCAUCAAUGGUGAAACCCUAAACAUCAACGAUCUUAUGGGUUCAUAUCAUGUUGAAGCCAUAACUAGACGACAGACUAGAGAUAAUGCCGACUUAAAUGUCGCGCAAUGGAGUCAAGAAGCUCCUAGUGA
Molecule: non-coding RNA, 208 nt
Organism: Pelobates cultripes (western spadefoot toad)
Lineage: Eukaryota; Metazoa; Chordata; Amphibia; Anura; Pelobatidae
Source: the annotation of a GenBank genome assembly